UUUAACUGAAGAGUUUGAUCAUGGCUCAGAUUGAACGCUGGCGGCAGGCUUAACACAUGCAAGUCGAGCGGGGGAAGGUAGCUUGCUACUGGACCUAGCGGCGGACGGGUGAGUAAUGCUUAGGAAUCUGCCUAUUAGUGGGGGACAACAU
RNAcentral lists this ribosomal RNA (151 nucleotides) under Acinetobacter baumannii. Its description in RNAcentral is "partial 16S ribosomal RNA". It matches the Rfam family "Bacterial small subunit ribosomal RNA", at positions 1 to 149 of the family's 1533-position model. The record is from RNAcentral. Lineage: Bacteria; Pseudomonadati; Pseudomonadota; Gammaproteobacteria; Moraxellales; Moraxellaceae.